This 408-nucleotide ribosomal RNA is filed under the name uncultured bacterium. Its description in RNAcentral is "partial 16S ribosomal RNA". It matches the Rfam family "Bacterial small subunit ribosomal RNA", at positions 28 to 526 of the family's 1533-position model. The record is from RNAcentral.
GACGAACGCUGGCGGCGUGCUUAGCACAUGCAAGUCGAACGAAGUGGCGAACGGGUGAGUAACGCGUAAUCAACCUGCCCUUCAGAGGGGGACAACAGUUGGCAACUACUGCUAAUACCGCAUAUUGACGUGGGGGCUUUCUUUGGAUUCGCUAGUUGGAGGGGUAACGGCCCACCAAGGCGAUUGUCAGUAGGCGGUCUGGGAAGAUGAACGGCCACAUUGGGACUGAGACACGGCCCAGACUCCUACGGGAGGCAGCAGUGGGGAAGCUUCCGCAAUGGACGAAAGUCUGACGGAGCAACGCCGCGUGAGUGAUGACGGCCUUCGGGUUGUAAAGCUCUGUUAAUCGGGACGCGGUACCGGAAUAGAAAGCCACGGCUAACUACGUGCCAGCAGCCGCGGUAAUAC